UACGUAGGGGGCUAGCGUUGUCCGGAUUUAUUGGGCGUAAAGAGCGUGUAGGCGGCCAGGUAGGUCUGCUGUGAAAACUCGAGGCUCAACCUCGAGAGGUCGGUGGAAACCGUAUGGCUAGAGUCCGGAAGAGGAGAGUGGAAUUCCCGGUGUAGCGGUGAAAUGCGCAGAUAUCGGGAAGAACACCCGUGGCGAAGGCGGCUCUCUGGGACGGUACUGACGCUGAGACGCGAAAGCGUGGGGAGCGAACAGG
RNAcentral lists this ribosomal RNA (253 nucleotides) under uncultured bacterium. RNAcentral's name for it is "partial 16S ribosomal RNA". It matches the Rfam family "Bacterial small subunit ribosomal RNA", at positions 524 to 776 of the family's 1533-position model. The record is from RNAcentral.